UCAAUGGUGGUGCUGCUUCUCCCACUGCUUAGUGCUGAGGAAACUCUAAUAAGGCGAUUGGAUGUGGAUGAAUUUGAAACCCGAGAACAUUAAGGACUUUAAAUAGUUGAGUUGCGCUAGAUUAUUAACUUAAAGAAGAAAUUAGUAUGAUUGAAGAACCCUUAAAAGGACACCAAGUCAUAAAUAAAAUCCAGAAAUGAAUUCAAUAAAGCAGAAAAAUCACAAAGACAUCAAUUAAAUUAUGAAAAUUUUCAAUAAUAAGCACCCCAUACCCAAACAAAAAUUGAAAGGAAAAAAAUUGACGUCUAGUGUAACCUCGGUUUACCCUUUGUUUAUACUGAUGUUGGUCGAUCGAAGAAACGUCGAAGACAACACUGGAUGAAGAUUGAUUGUCGAAACUUUGGAAUUUUGACGCAAAUAAAAGAGAGGCAGAGAUUAAUGUAAACGCCUUCUUUUAUUUUUUUUCCUUUUAAGAAGAAAAAAAAGGGAGGAAAACAAGUAAUAUAGAGAAGACAUUUAGCAAUGAAUAGUAGAUAUCUCGUUUGUGAACAGUACCCAGACCAGAUUGGGAUUCUAAGAGUGAAACCACUGCAUUAAAAUGAUAGGUGAUCUGAGCGGCCAUAUUUUUUAAACAUAUCUAAUUCCAAAUAAUAGUAAAAUAAUUUUGAACUCUUUUGUUGGAUUUCCGUCUAAUUAUUAGAUGUAGCUUUUUCUAAAAAAUUAUACCUCCUAUCUUAGACACAUAAAAGAAUGCAGUGAUGUUGCAUUUUUUUUUAACUUUAAAAUUACGAGGAGAUAAAAUAUGAACUAACGAAACCAAUUUAUCCAAUAAGAGAGUAAAUUAACAACUAAAUUAGGAUUUUGUUCAUCCCCAUACUUUGAAAUAAAUAUGAAGAUUCAUUUUGAAUUAAAUAAUCAUAGAAACCCUACUUAAAUAACAAAAACAAUCAAAACCCAUUUCACAUUAACCUAAAAAUCAAAUUAUCCCUUACCAAAAAACUAAAAAAGAAACAAAGAAAAAUAAUGGGGGGAAAAACCUUGGGCUUAAGAUCGGAGUCAAAGUUGAACUUCUAUUCCCUGACUUGAGCUCAAAAUCCUAGACUUCAGUUCUUUCAUUGGUUCAGUUUAUAAUCUUCGCUAGGAUUUGCCUUUCUUCUUACGUUAGGGCUUUGUUUGGUUUUGGAGAGAGAAAAAUGAGUUAAUUUCAAAUGAGAAGAGUUAACUCAGC
This 1228-nucleotide long non-coding RNA is filed under the name Olea europaea (common olive). Its description in RNAcentral is "long non-coding RNA (OEUR_LNC010796)". Lineage: Eukaryota; Viridiplantae; Streptophyta; Magnoliopsida; Lamiales; Oleaceae. The record is from RNAcentral.